Molecule: long non-coding RNA, 637 nt
Filed under: Cricetulus griseus (Chinese hamster)
Lineage: Eukaryota; Metazoa; Chordata; Mammalia; Rodentia; Cricetidae
Description: lncRNA (ENSCGRG00015034735.1)
Source: RNAcentral
CUAGGAAAUGCUUUAAACUCAUUUCUUAGAUAAUUAUGUUAUACUGGAAAAUACUAACUGGGAUGUAAAAUCUGAUUGAGGGAGUUCACCACAAGGAUGAGAAAACCGCCAACUAUAAGUGUGGAAUGGAGUCUGAUGUCAACCAUACCAAUGGAUACAUGUCUCUCAAAUGGACAUUUAUUGUCAUGGGUACCAAAACACUUAUUUGAAUUGCUAAGGUUCUUCAAGUAAGGAACUGAUGGAUAGGAGGCAUGUGGGGUUCUGAAUUCCAACAACUGAGUAUCUCUUUGGGCAACCUUCUGAGUGGAAAGUAUAUGAUCUGAAAUGGAUAUUUUCCCAGAGGAACCAUGAAAUAGCUGCCAUUCAGGCAACAUUCAUCACUUUCUGGACCUUCUGCCUCUUCGGAGUCAUCAUCUCAUGACCUUGAUGGGGACACUAGCACCAUCACCCUAAGUGUCUGUACUCUAAUGUUGCAUCAAACCAGGAGACAAUAGUGGGAAACCCUCAUAUCUACCAUUCUAAAUGGAUUGAUAGUUUUCUGAGCUUAAUUUUUAAAUUGUUAAUCAUAGGUACAAAGAAAUGACUGCUUUUCCUAUGAAUGUUGCUUUUUAUCCUGUAACUUUGCUGAACUUAUAAA